RNAcentral lists this long non-coding RNA (1146 nucleotides) under Salvator merianae (Argentine black and white tegu). RNAcentral's name for it is "lncRNA (ENSSMRG00000013057.1)". The record is from RNAcentral. Lineage: Eukaryota; Metazoa; Chordata; Lepidosauria; Squamata; Teiidae.
CUGCGUGGGCCACUAGAAGUUCUGGUAAAGAAGCGCUUGCGGUCAAGCAGCCCCCCCCUGCUGGAGGGGAAGUGCCAGGGGCCUUCCUUGCCCAUCUCGAAGCUACUGGGAAGGGAGGGGAUGCUCUGGGAAGGGUCCCCCACCGCUCAGCGGGACGGCGAUGCCCAGGCGGGGGCGCUCGCUGUCUCCCCCUUCCCGGCGGCUCUUCCGCUCUGAAGGAGAGUCGCCGCCGCCAUCGCUGCCGCCGGAGGGCAAUCGGUACCCCCACGGCAGAGCCCCGUCCGAUUUGCUCCCCCCAAACGUUGCGGUUUCCCCNAAGGGCUGCGUUGCUCUUAGGCUGAGAUGCCGUCCGCACCCAAAGCAGCCGAUGCUUCCCCAUCGGCUCGCGGGCCGAGGGGGUUUGACGGCGUCCCAAGGACUUCGGCCCGCGAAGAGACGCCCGUGUCCCUCCGUGGAGGCUUCUACGAGGAGGGGGCAGCUUUCUUGCCCAGAUCGCCCAGCCAGGCUCCCCCUGUUUCCCCACCGAGAGUCCAGCCGGGAGGAGAGUGAGGAGGCACCGGUGGGGGGGGGGGCUUUCGGCCCAGCCUGACACGCGCAGCUUCCAAAGAGGCAAACCUGGGGCAGCCGCCUGCCGAGCGCAAAGCCGAACCUCCACCCCCCCCCCGGAUCGUCGCCGGCUGCACGCGCUGUCCGCGCGGCCCGGCUCAGGAGCGCAGCGCCCAGGUCGGAGCGAUGGGCAGAAUUCAACACCAGGUGGCGCCACAAUACAGGCCAAGGAGGUCUCGCGGACGGCAGGCGGAGGUGCCGGAACACUUCCGCACGUUUUUGCUGCGCUUGGCAGGAGGCAGUCGGGAACCGGUUGCGCGGGGCGACUGGAAGACUGUUGCAACCAUGUUGCNAGCNAGUGCAGUGCAGGGCGGNUUGCCUGCCUGGAACACGUGCACAGAGAAGGAAGCGGCCAUUUCCUGAUACAUGCGGGUAAAUUUCCUCUACCUUUAAACAACCACAUGAGGCCUUGAGCACCUCCCUUUACUCCGCCUUUCUAGAUGACGCUUAACCUUUGGGAGGCUCUGUAACUUUUGAUUGGUCAUUUUGAAUAAUGCUUGUCAUGCUGUAACUUUGUAUUGGAUUUAAUUAGUCAUGUGA